AGAACCUGAAACCGUGUACGUACAAGCAGUAGGAGCACCUUCGUGGUGUGACUGCGUACCUUUUGUAUAAUGGGUCAGCGACUUAUAUUCAGUGGCAAGGUUAACCGUAUAGGGGAGCCGUAGCGAAAGCGAGUCUUAACUGGGCGCUCAGUCUCUGGAUAUAGACCCGAAACCGGGUGAUCUAGCCAUGGGCAGGUUGAAGGUUGAGUAACAUCAACUGGAGGACCGAACCGACUAAUGUUGAAAAAUUAGCGGAUGACUUGUGGCUAGGGGUGAAAGGCCAAUCAAACUCGGAGAUAGCUGGUUCUCCCCGAAAGCUAUUUAGGUAGCGCCUCGGACGAAUACUACUGGGGGUAGAGCACUGUUAAGGCUAGGGGGUCAUCCCGACUUACCAACCCUUUGCAAACUCCGAAUACCAGUAAGUACUAUCCGGGAGACACACGGCGGGUGCUAACGUCCGUCGUGGAGAGGGAAACAACCCAGACCGCCAGCUAAGGUCCCAAAGUAUUGCUAAGUGGGAAACGAUGUGGGAAGGCUCAGACAGCUAGGAUGUUGGCUUAGAAGCAGCCAUCAUUUAAAGAAAGCGUAAUAGCUCACUAGUCGAGUCGGCCUGCGCGGAAGAUGUAACGGGGCUAAGCAAUACACCGAAGCUGCGGCAAU
Molecule: ribosomal RNA, 660 nt
Filed under: Vibrio cholerae
Lineage: Bacteria; Pseudomonadati; Pseudomonadota; Gammaproteobacteria; Vibrionales; Vibrionaceae
Description: partial 23S ribosomal RNA
Rfam family: Bacterial large subunit ribosomal RNA
Source: RNAcentral